GAAAUGCGAUAAGUAAUGUGAAUUGCAGAAUUCUGUGAAUCAUCGAAUCUUUGAACGCACAUUGCGCCCUCUGGCAUUCCGGGGGGCAUGCCUGUCCGAGCGUCAUUACGCACACUCAAGCCCGGCUUGUGUGAUGGGCCCCGGCGUCUCGUUCGCGAGACGGGCCCGAAAGGCAGCGGCGGCGUCGACCCGAUGAGCCCGAGCGUAUGGGGACUUCUGUCACACGUUCGCGGUGCGGACCGGCGCCUGCUUGACUUUUCUCAUUAUCCAGGUUGACCUCGGAUCAGGUAGGGAUACCCGCUGAACUUAAGC
This 312-nucleotide unclassified non-coding RNA is filed under the name plant metagenome. RNAcentral's name for it is "partial contains 5.8S ribosomal RNA, internal transcribed spacer 2, and large subunit ribosomal RNA". The stretch from base 1 to 105 matches the Rfam family "5.8S ribosomal RNA", at positions 50 to 154 of the family's 154-position model. The record is from RNAcentral.